UACAUGGAGCGAAUAACCGGCGUCCGAGCGACGAACUUCGUCGGGCGGCGAACGCCCGACGGCCGGCGUCCAAAAAUUUGACGCCCGCCGCCGAUCUGCCUGUCCAAAUAUUUUCGUCGGGCCGCCGGAAGCGUCGAGCGCGCAGCGGCGGACGACAGCCAAUCGGGAGGCGCCAGUUCCGGUCGCUAGGCAUGCUGGUCUUUCGCGCGCGGGUCUUUCCUCUUCUGCAACCACGUUGGUGUCUGCGCUAGUGUUGAUGUCUGCGCCGAACAAAAAAUGAACUCGCAGGAAUGUGGAGAAGCGGUAGAGGUGGCGCCUAGGCCCUAUUUAAAAUCGGCCCGGCUGGAGUAUAACGAUAAACUCAUAUCAGCCGUUCAGAAGCGCCCCACAAUAUGGGACUGCAGAAGGGCCGACUACAGAGACCAACGGAAGAAAACAGCUGCGUGGCAGGACGUCGUCGCUGAAAUCGGUGGCGACCCAGACGGUAAGUUUUCCAUGUCGCAUUGAAGUGACUGUUCCUUCAUGUAAGCGAACGAUGCGCACAGUACCCUCGGUCAAUGCAUUGCCUCGGUAUACGGGCGGCGCGAACAGGUGUCAGUGUUAGGCCCGUGUCAUUUGGUUGCAUGUAAACAAAACGUUUCCCGCUUCGCGGUUUGCCUGCGGCGUUCUGUUUUUUCCUUGCGUUACUACUGCCAGCAGCAGCCAGCAGAGUCAUUGGCAAACCUUCGUCGAGUCUUACGAGUUUGAAAACGAAAUGACGGCGACCGUGUACGUCCCGUACCGGUCGCCACUACCGUGCUGUAAGUUGCCCUUUGAAACUCCGUAUUGCGUGCGUGCGCGCGCCUCUUUGUACCUGUUUAUAUGCUAUUCAGCAACGAAAACGCAUGUCUGCCAGAGUCGAGGGAUUGGCGAUGUUACCUGACCACUACCGGCGUCUCCCUUCUGGAGUAUACAGACUCCGUGCCGCCUGUGCCACGUACCAUCGGUAAACGUUUCCUUCGUCCGUGCGACUGCUUUGUAGCUCGUGAACAGGUCGCGGAAAGUAGGCUUCGAACUAAGUCGGCACCUAAAUGUAGAUGACCAAAAAGCAGUAGCUGCUUGCAUAGAAAAGUGAAGCCUUGGCAAAAAAAAAAAAAACGGUACAGGCGGAGCGUACUCGUGCAACAGGAAUGGCGACGCCACUGACGAAUUGCUGUUGCUUAAGAACUUGUAUAAGGUUAUAUGUUAAUACUGUAUUACAGCGCCUAGAUGUUGCUCUAACACUCCCUUCCGCACGUACUGUUUGCUCACUGCGACAUGCGUCUCUUGCCAGCAUAUUUGACCUUUCUGUAUUUUGAUAAUGACAUAUUUUCAUAUAUUAGGUUCCACUGCCCAAGCUCGCUGGAAGAGCUUGAGGGACACAUUCUCAAAGAAGCACCGUACCUGGAAAACUGGUGCGCCAAGUGGGUCUGGGGCAAGCGACAGCAAAGAAGUCCGCUGGCCUUAUUUUAAACUGCUAUUUUUUUUGAAGGAUUUAGUUGACAUCGGAAGCACUACAAGCAAUAUCCCGCCAGCUGAGGCAGAGAGUGCAGAAACCCUCCUGAUCAACAUGUGCUGCCAAAAAGAAUGUAAGACAUUUAUUUAUCACUUCACAAAUAUAUCAAGUUACAGUGCAUAUAAAAACAAACAUGCUCAGGGUUUCCAUGUCUUCACAUGUCACAUAGUAUUGUACACUACCGACGAAUGCAGAUCCCAGGCCACCGAGUCACCUGUGCCUGGGACUUCCAGCACAACUGACGAGGAGACGUCAGCCGAAGUAUGCCGAAGUGCUACGCCAAAGCGAACACAAGCAGUCGCAGCGAAAAGGAAAAGACACAAGCUGGAUGACGAAAUUGAAACUGUAGAUCAUCUGCUUAAAAAACAUGAAGAUGCGCCUGCUGUUUUUGGGCAGCUUGUUGCCCAUAAAUUAAGAAAGUUUUCAAAACGACAGCAGUCGGAAUUGGAAAUAGAAAUUUUACAAUUGCUGAACAGGCACGACUAUGAGUGAAAAUAAAGUGUAUCCUAUUUGUUCA
Molecule: long non-coding RNA, 2051 nt
Organism: Dermacentor albipictus
Lineage: Eukaryota; Metazoa; Arthropoda; Arachnida; Ixodida; Ixodidae
Source: RefSeq, a predicted model, not a curated record